CUUCCAUUGAAGACGAGAAAUCCGUUCCAGUCGACAUUUUUGUUGUCGUUUUUGAUUAUGUCAACCCUUCCAAGGUUGAUGAUCCUGGGUUAAUUUAUGAUAUUGAACCUCAAGACUACAUUCCUUAUCUAUGUGGUUUGAAAUAUACAAAUAGACAAAUGGACAUAAUUUUAUAACGUAAAGUGAAUUGCUCAGAUGAAUCAAGUAUUUUGGAAGGACAACCGAAUUAUCCAUCGAUUUUUAUAGUCAUCGAACUAACAAGUUAGACGUAUACCAGCACAGUAACUAAUGUUGGUGAGGCUAAUGCAUUAUACAUUGUGAAUAUUCUUUCACCUCAUGGUGUUAAUGUGGUUGUCAAACCUUGUAGUCUUAAUUUCUCAGAGUUGAACAAGAAGUUAAAAUUUAAAGUUACAUUUAGCAAAUGAGAUACUAUCUCUUACAUAACCAAUGUCUAGGGAUAUAUUUUAUGGAAGUCAUCUAUACAUUCUGUUAGGAGCCCAUUGCUGUGAUUAAGGCAGAUUCAUAGUGGCCUCGUGUUGGAAAAAAUUGUCGUUUACCUAUAACUUUUGGCUCUAUGAAAAAGGAUUUGAAUAAUAUAGGAUAUCAAACAUAUGUAAUCUACUUUAUUUUAAUUUUCAUUAUCAUUAACUCCAUAUGAAACUCGAUUGCUUCAAAGAACUCAUUUGAAUAUAUAAAUUAAAAUUGUGUAAGUUCCUAGAUCUAGUUUUAAAAAAAUUUAAAAGCAAUUGAG
This 751-nucleotide long non-coding RNA is filed under the name Olea europaea subsp. europaea. The record is from RNAcentral. Lineage: Eukaryota; Viridiplantae; Streptophyta; Magnoliopsida; Lamiales; Oleaceae.